This 255-nucleotide unclassified non-coding RNA is filed under the name Hevea brasiliensis (rubber tree). Lineage: Eukaryota; Viridiplantae; Streptophyta; Magnoliopsida; Malpighiales; Euphorbiaceae. The record is from RNAcentral.
AAUGCCAUAAUGUCUGACAGCGAGUUCAAUUAGGCUAAUGAGGUCGCUGAUAGUAAUAUGACUAGUCCAGAACCUUCACUUCAUUCUCAGGGAACUUUUUCUAGAGGCUCUAAAUGCAAAACUUCAAUGAUGGAUAUAUUAGAUAGACAAUAUGAAAGGUUGAACAAUGGAAUUGAACCGGUGUCAGAGGUCUUGGAAAAAGGAAAUGCAAUUGCAGAAAAAUCUCUUGCUAUUCUUGAAAGUGGCAGACCCCAU